RNAcentral lists this ribosomal RNA (143 nucleotides) under Mastigopsis hjorti (lampeyed whiplash squid). Its description in RNAcentral is "partial small subunit ribosomal RNA". The record is from RNAcentral. Lineage: Eukaryota; Metazoa; Mollusca; Cephalopoda; Oegopsida; Mastigoteuthidae.
GACCGAUGCACGAUUUCCGUCCUCUCGUCGCGGGUUUCGGCUCGCGUGCGGGGCUAAAGGUCGGCGCGCUCCGCUUUAGUGACUCUGGAUAACUCACUGGUCGAUCGCACGGGCUUCCACGCCCGGCGACGGGUCCCCCGAGG